UACGUAGGGUGCAAGCGUUGUCCGGAAUUAUUGGGCGUAAAGAGCUCGUAGGCGGUUCGUCGCGUCGGCUGUGAAAACCCGGAGCUUAACUCCGGGCCUGCAGUCGAUACGGGCGGACUGGAGUUCGGCAGGGGAGACUGGAAUUCCUGGUGUAGCGGUGAAAUGCGCAGAUAUCAGGAGGAACACCGGUGGCGAAGGCGGGUCUCUGGGCCGAUACUGACGCUGAGAAGCGAAAGCAUGGGGAGCGAACAGG
RNAcentral lists this ribosomal RNA (253 nucleotides) under uncultured bacterium. Its description in RNAcentral is "partial 16S ribosomal RNA". It matches the Rfam family "Bacterial small subunit ribosomal RNA", at positions 524 to 776 of the family's 1533-position model. The record is from RNAcentral.